UACGAAGGGGGCUAGCGUUGUUCGGAAUUACUGGGCGUAAAGCGCACGUAGGCGGAUUGCUAAGUCAGGGGUGAAAUCCCGGGGCUCAACCCCGGAACUGCCUUUGAUACUGGCUGUCUCGAGUCCGGAAGAGGUGAGUGGAAUUCCGAGUGUAGAGGUGAAAUUCGUAGAUAUUCGGAGGAACACCAGUGGCGAAGGCGGCUCACUGGUCCGGUACUGACGCUGAGGUGCGAAAGCGUGGGGAGCAAACAGG
Molecule: ribosomal RNA, 253 nt
Filed under: uncultured bacterium
Lineage: Bacteria
Description: partial 16S ribosomal RNA
Rfam family: Bacterial small subunit ribosomal RNA
Source: RNAcentral